UCCUCCUACGGGCGGCAGCAGUGGGGAAUAUUGCACAAUGGGGGAAACCCUGAUGCAGCGACGCCGCGUGAAGGACGAAGCAUUUCGGUACGUAAACUUCUAUCAGCAGGGAAGAAAAUGACGGUACCUGACCAAGAAGCCCCUGCUAACUACGUGCCAGCAGCCGCGGUAAUACGUAGGGGGCGAGCGUUAUCCGGAUUUACUGGGUGUAAAGGGAGCGUAGACGGCCAUGCAAGUCUGAUGUGAAAACACGGGGCUCAACCC
Molecule: ribosomal RNA, 264 nt
Filed under: uncultured bacterium
Lineage: Bacteria
Description: partial 16S ribosomal RNA
Rfam family: Bacterial small subunit ribosomal RNA
Source: RNAcentral